Molecule: non-coding RNA, 27 nt
Filed under: Homo sapiens (human)
Lineage: Eukaryota; Metazoa; Chordata; Mammalia; Primates; Hominidae
Source: RNAcentral
GGCAGUCCAGGUCAGCGUCAGGUGCAC